Poecilia latipinna (sailfin molly) is the source of this 1157-nucleotide long non-coding RNA. RefSeq lists it as uncharacterized. The transcript is spliced from 2 exons. NCBI's taxonomy places the organism in Eukaryota, Metazoa, Chordata, Actinopteri, Cyprinodontiformes, Poeciliidae. The record is from RefSeq and is a predicted model, not a curated record.
GCACCAACUGUCCUUCCUACAUCCACUGCAGUUUGCAAUCCAGAUGUUGGACUGUUCCUGUCUCAGUGGAGGACAAUGUGUGUCUGAGAGACAUGUAAUGUCCAUGUUUGCUGCUGAAAGAGACUGAUGGUCUGACCCCCCUCCUCCUUUCAGGGUGGAGCCUGCUGGAGGCCCAUUCUUGACACCAGGUCCAUGGAGACUGAGGAAGUAUUCCUGUCAACUCACCAUCAACACAAACACAGUGAGCAGAAAACUCAAACUGUCUAAAGACAACAGGAAGGUGACAUGGAUGGAGGAGCUUCAGUCAUAUCCUGAUCAUCCAAACAGAUUUGAUGACUGGAAUCAGCUGCUGUGUACAACUGGUCUGACUGGCCGUUGUUACUGGGAGGUCAAGUGGAGAGGAACAGUUUUUAUAUCAGUGAGUUACAGAAGAAUCAAGAGGAAAGGAAACGGUAUGGACUGUUUGUUUGGAGGGAAUGAUGAUUCCUGGAGUCUGAACUGCUCUGAUGUUGGUUACUCUGUCUGUCACAAUAACAGACCAACUCAUCUCUCCUCCUCCUUUGACUCUAACAGAGUAGCAGUGUAUGUGGACUGUCCUGCUGGCAUUCUGUCCUUCUACAGAGUCUCCUCUGACUCACUGAUCCACCUCCACACCUUCAACACCACAUUCACUGAACCUCUGAUUCCUGGAUUAACAGUCUGGUCUGGAUCCUCAGUGUUUCUGUGCUGAGUUGAGUCUAAAGAGUCUAAAGAUUUUCCUCCUGUCAGAGAAACUCUCUCACUGUUGAACAGAUAGUUCAUCUCUACAAUCUAUUUCUUGGUGAAACAAUUUUGAUUGAGUCCUUGGAAACCUUUUCUACUUCCAGUUUUUUAAAGAUGGAAGCUGGAAUUAUUCAAGGAUUAUUCCAGGAUUAUUCCAGGAUCCACAUGUUUUUGUGUUGUUUCCAGUCAAAGCUUCACUCUGAAUAUCAAGAUGUUUCUCUUAGUUUUUCCCUUCAUUCAUCAGAUUUCAUUGACAUGUUGAUCAGUUUUUCUCAAUCCCUGAACAUUUUCUGAUUUUGUCGGCUCCUAUUUUUCUAAACACGUCAGAUUUGAAUGUUAAAUCUUCCUUUUCUAUAUUUGCUGCAGUUUUUCUUCAUGUGUUCUAGAGAAAUAAA